CCCCAAAACGAACAAAGAAAAAAAAAAAGAAAGAAAGAAAGAAAAAAGAAAAGAAGAAUAGCAAACAAAGG
RNAcentral lists this non-coding RNA (71 nucleotides) under Paramoeba aestuarina. Lineage: Eukaryota; Discosea; Flabellinia; Dactylopodida; Paramoebidae. The record is from RNAcentral.